Molecule: ribosomal RNA, 423 nt
Filed under: uncultured Leuconostoc sp.
Lineage: Bacteria; Bacillati; Bacillota; Bacilli; Lactobacillales; Lactobacillaceae
Description: bacterial SSU rRNA
Rfam family: Bacterial small subunit ribosomal RNA
Source: RNAcentral
GUGCCAGCAGCGGCGGUAAUACGUAUGUCCCGAGCGUUAUCCGGAUUUAUUGGGCGUAAAGCGAGCGCAGACGGUUGAUUAAGUCUGAUGUGAAAGCCCGGAGCUCAACUCCGGAAUGGCAUUGGAAACUGGUUAACUUGAGUGCAGUAGAGGUAAGUGGAACUCCAUGUGUAGCGGUGGAAUGCGUAGAUAUAUGGAAGAACACCAGUGGCGAAGGCGGCUUACUGGACUGUAACUGACGUUGAGGCUCGAAAGUGUGGGUAGCAAACAGGAUUAGAUACCCUGGUAGUCCACACCGUAAACGAUGAACACUAGGUGUUAGGAGUUUCCGCCUCUUAGUGCCGAAGCUAACGCAUUAAGUGUUCCGCUGGGAGUACGACCGCAAGGUUGAAACUCAAAGGAUUGGACGGGACCGCACGAAGC